RNAcentral lists this unclassified non-coding RNA (632 nucleotides) under Hevea brasiliensis (rubber tree). Lineage: Eukaryota; Viridiplantae; Streptophyta; Magnoliopsida; Malpighiales; Euphorbiaceae. The record is from RNAcentral.
UCUUCAUCUUCAUCUUCAUCUUCACCGUCCUCGUCCUCUUCUUCCACAGUAUCUUCCUCGCCUUCAUCAGGCCCAUCUUCUUCAUCACCACCUUCGUCUUCAUCAUCUUCACCGUUCUCUUCAGCACCUCCUGCCCCUUCUCUAGGAUGUUUUCUGGAGUUGCUGUCAUUUGUGUUUGGGUUAUUGUUCACAUUUUCUCCAUCUUCAGAUGACAAGUCUUCACCUUCAUCUCCGUCUCCAUCCUCAUCCCCUGUCUCAUUGCCGUCUUCCUCAGCAUCAAGAGGCUUGCUUGGGGAAGAUACAUGAUGCUCAUCUCCCUUUUUAGCCUUUUGUUCAAGAAGCUUCAAGUACCCCUGGGUGAGAGUGAGAAUGUGAGUUUUAACCAGUGAAGAAAUAAAUAAAGCUACCAGUGAUUGACCGGCGCAAGUUAGCAUACUCUGUCUAAUCAUGGCAACAGAGACUGAACCUCUGCUUGUCUCCAUCAGUACGGUACGGUACAAUUACACCAACAAACUCAGAUCGCGGAAAGACAGAUCGGUGCUCCGAUGAAGCAGAUCGGAGGAAUUUCAGAGCUAUAUCGUAGAGAAAUUAAGAUCAAAAGCAGCGUUCAUUCUGGACCGUCCGAUCAACAU